UACGAACCGUCCAAACGUUAUUCGGAUUCAUUGGGCUUAAAGGGUACGUAGGCGGCGCCAUCAGUCGGGUGUGAAAGCCCUCGGCUCAACCGAGGAACUGCGCCCGAUACUGUGGUGCUUGAGGGAGACAGAGGUAAGCGGAACUGAUGGUGGAGCGGUGAAAUGCGUUGAUAUCAUCAGGAACACCGGUGGCGAAAGCGGCUUACUGGGUCUCUUCUGACGCUGAGGUACGAAAGCUAGGGGAGCGAACGGG
RNAcentral lists this ribosomal RNA (253 nucleotides) under uncultured bacterium. RNAcentral's name for it is "partial 16S ribosomal RNA". It matches the Rfam family "Bacterial small subunit ribosomal RNA", at positions 524 to 776 of the family's 1533-position model. RNAcentral also lists the same sequence under 2 other names. The record is from RNAcentral.